GGAUGAACGCUAGCGGGAGGCUUAACACAUGCAAGUCGAGGGGUAAAUGGCAGCAAUGCUAUGAGACCGGCGAACGGGUGCGUAACGCGUAUGCAACUUACCUUAUGCAGGGGGAUAGCCCGUGGAAACGCGGAUUAAUAUCCCAUAGAUCAGUGGUAUCGCAUGGUACAGCUGGUAAAGCUCAGGUGGCAUAAGAUGGGCAUGCGUCUGAUUAGCUGGUUGGUAGGGUAACGGCCUACCAAGGCGACGAUCAGUAGGGGUUCUGAGAGGAUUAACCCCCACACUGGUACUGAGACACGGACCAGACUCCUACGGGAGGCAGCAGUGAGGAAUAUUGGUCAAUGGGCGGAAGCCUGAACCAGCCAUCCCGCGUGAAGGAAGAAGGCCUUAUGGGUUGUAAACUUCUUUUCUGUUUGAAGAAUAAGCUAGUCGUGACAAGUGAUGCCGGUAGGACAGGAAUAAGCAUCGGCUAACUCCGUGCCAGCAGCCGCGGUAAUACGGAGGAUGCAAGCGUUAUCCGGAUUUAUUGGGUUUAAAGGGUGCGCAGGUGGUUUAAUAAGUCAGUGGUGAAAGUCUGCCGCUUAACGGUAGGAUUGCCAUUGAUACUGUUGGACUUGAAUAUGGAUGAGGUAGGCGGAAUGUGUAGUGUAGCGGUGAAAUGCUUAGAUAUUACACAGAACACCGAUUGCGAAGGCAGCUUACUAAUCCAUGAUUGACGCUGAGGCACGAAAGCGUGGGGAUCAAACAGGAUUAGAUACCCUGGUAGUCCACGCUGUAAACGAUGAUCACUCGCUGUUUGCGAUAUACAGUAAGCGGCUAAGCGAAAGCGUUAAGUGAUCCACCUGGGGAGUACGAUCGCAAGGUUG
RNAcentral lists this ribosomal RNA (866 nucleotides) under uncultured Bacteroidota bacterium. Its description in RNAcentral is "bacterial SSU rRNA". It matches the Rfam family "Bacterial small subunit ribosomal RNA", at positions 27 to 896 of the family's 1533-position model. Lineage: Bacteria; Pseudomonadati; Bacteroidota. The record is from RNAcentral.